AUUGAACGCUGGCGGCAGGCCUAACACAUGCAAGUCGAGCGGAUGAAGGGAGCUUGCUCCUGGAUUCAGCGGCGGACGGGUGAGUAAUGCCUAGGAAUCUGCCUGGUAGUGGGGGAUAACGUCCGGAAACGGGCGCUAAUACCGCAUACGUCCUGAGGGAGAAAGUGGGGGAUCUUCGGACCUCACGCUAUCUGAUGAGCCUAGGUCGGAUUAGCUAGUUGGUGGGGUAAAGGCCUACCAAGGCGACGAUCCGUAACUGGUCUGAGAGGAUGAUCAGUCACACUGGAACGGAGACACGGUCCAGACGCCUACGGGAGGCAGCAGUGGGGAAUAGGGGACAAUGGGCGAAAGCCUGAUCCAGCCAGGCAGCGUGUGUGAAGAAGGUCUUCGGAUUGUAAAGCACUUUAAGUUGGGAGGAAGGGCAGUAAGUUAAUACCUUGCUGUUUUGACGGUACCAACAGAAGAAGCACCGGCUAACUUCGUG
RNAcentral lists this ribosomal RNA (484 nucleotides) under uncultured bacterium. Its description in RNAcentral is "partial 16S ribosomal RNA". It matches the Rfam family "Bacterial small subunit ribosomal RNA", at positions 30 to 507 of the family's 1533-position model. The record is from RNAcentral.